GAGGAGGCACGUUCCUGGAGGGGAUCCUGGUCCAGGACCCAGCCCCCCACAGGAGGCAGAUGCCUGCUCAGUGGGCAGACUGGGCUGGAAUGAUGCACGUGCAGCGAUAAUUCAGAUCUGGCUGCAAGUCUGGAGUGUGGGAAUCCAGACGUCUUCUGUGCAGUGUGGGAGCCCCAGGGAUUGGGGCAAGAAGCAAGAAGGCCUGAAACCCUCCCCAGCCUUGGCGGUUCAUGAGCUAAAUUAUCCUGGAGCUUUAAACACUUUAUAAAAUACCAGGUAUGA
This is a long non-coding RNA of Suricata suricatta (meerkat), 282 nucleotides long. RefSeq lists it as uncharacterized. NCBI's taxonomy places the organism in Eukaryota, Metazoa, Chordata, Mammalia, Carnivora, Herpestidae. The record is from RefSeq and is a predicted model, not a curated record. The transcript is spliced from 2 exons.